UCCCAGACAUAGACAUACCCCUUUGAAGUAGAGAAACCAUAGUUAUUCUCUCUAUUCUGCUACCAUCGCCCAUAUACUAGAUUGCUCUACUCUCUAUUCCCAUAUUAUCACUCACUGUUAUCUUACCUUUAAUAUUGUUCUUAUUCGAUUCUACCAUCUUUCCUAUUUACACUUAUCUAUCUAUCCUGGUUAAGUUAGAGCGUAGUUGGUUCUCCCAUUUCCCUGUGGAUACGAUAAAACCUUUAACCGGAUAAAAGCUUCAACGGUAUCCGUGCGCUUGCGGAUUAUCUGUGUGCGUAUAAAUACCAUAGUACACUCUAGUGCCAUGCUGGGG
Molecule: long non-coding RNA, 334 nt
Filed under: Sorghum bicolor (sorghum)
Lineage: Eukaryota; Viridiplantae; Streptophyta; Magnoliopsida; Poales; Poaceae
Description: long non-coding RNA (SBIC_LNC005440)
Source: RNAcentral